GGGGAGAUUCCAGAGCGGCCAAAUGGGGCAGACUGUAAAUCUGUUGACUUCGUCUUCGGAGGUUCGAAUCCUCCUCUCCCCACAA
RNAcentral lists this transfer RNA (85 nucleotides) under Bacteroidales bacterium. Its description in RNAcentral is "tRNA-Tyr". It matches the Rfam family "tRNA". Rfam says of the family: Transfer RNA (tRNA) molecules are approximately 80 nucleotides in length. Their secondary structure includes four short double-helical elements and three loops (D, anti-codon, and T loops). Further hydrogen bonds mediate the characteristic L-shaped molecular structure. tRNAs have two regions of fundamental functional importance: the anti-codon, which is responsible for specific mRNA codon recognition, and the 3' end, to which the tRNAs corresponding amino acid is attached (by aminoacyl-tRNA synthetases). tRNAs cope with the degeneracy of the genetic code in two manners: having more than one tRNA (with a specific anti-codon) for a particular amino acid; and 'wobble' base-pairing, i.e. permitting non-standard base-pairing at the 3rd anti-codon position. Lineage: Bacteria; Pseudomonadati; Bacteroidota; Bacteroidia; Bacteroidales. The record is from RNAcentral.